GUGUAAAGACCUUAGGGUGAAGCAAUUGGAGGGCAAGCUUUGGUGCCAGCAGCCGCGGUAACUCCAACUCCAAGAGUGUCUAUGGUGGAUGCUGCAGUUAAAGGGUCCGUAGUCGUGAAUGCAAUUAAAUGUCGUUGUUCAAUAGCGAUGAGUUUGCUAAUGUUUGCGGAACGGAUAGGGAGUGUAGUAUAGACUGGCGAAGAAUGAAAUCUCAAGACCCAGUUUGGACUAACGGAGGCGAAGGCGACACUCUUAGACGUAUCUUAGGAUCAAGGACGAAGGCAGGAGUAUCGAAAGUGAUUAGACACCGCUGUAGUUCCUGCAGUAAACUAUGCCGACAGCCUGUGUGUGAGAAUACGUGGGCGGGAGAAAUCUUAGUGUUCGGGCUCUGGGGAUAGUACGCUCGCAAGGGUGAAACUUAAAGCGAAAUUGACGGAAGGACACUACCAGGAGUGGAUUGUGCUGCUUAAUUUAACUCAACGCGGGAAAACUUACCAGGGUCAAGUCAUUCGUUGAUCGAAUACGUGAGAAUGGCAGGAGUGGUGCAUGGCCGUUGGAAAUUGAUGGGGCGACCUUUAGCUUAAAUGCUAAA
Molecule: ribosomal RNA, 592 nt
Filed under: Enterocytozoon bieneusi H348
Lineage: Eukaryota; Fungi; Microsporidia; Enterocytozoonidae
Description: bacterial SSU rRNA
Rfam family: Microsporidia small subunit ribosomal RNA
Source: RNAcentral